Molecule: ribosomal RNA, 1550 nt
Filed under: Leclercia sp. 29361
Lineage: Bacteria; Pseudomonadati; Pseudomonadota; Gammaproteobacteria; Enterobacterales; Enterobacteriaceae
Description: bacterial SSU rRNA
Rfam family: Bacterial small subunit ribosomal RNA
Source: RNAcentral
AAAUUGAAGAGUUUGAUCAUGGCUCAGAUUGAACGCUGGCGGCAGGCCUAACACAUGCAAGUCGAACGGUAGCACAGAGAGCUUGCUCUCGGGUGACGAGUGGCGGACGGGUGAGUAAUGUCUGGGAAACUGCCUGAUGGAGGGGGAUAACUACUGGAAACGGUAGCUAAUACCGCAUAACGUCGCAAGACCAAAGAGGGGGACCUUCGGGCCUCUUGCCAUCAGAUGUGCCCAGAUGGGAUUAGCUAGUAGGUGGGGUAAUGGCUCACCUAGGCGACGAUCCCUAGCUGGUCUGAGAGGAUGACCAGCCACACUGGAACUGAGACACGGUCCAGACUCCUACGGGAGGCAGCAGUGGGGAAUAUUGCACAAUGGGCGCAAGCCUGAUGCAGCCAUGCCGCGUGUAUGAAGAAGGCCUUCGGGUUGUAAAGUACUUUCAGCGAGGAGGAAGGCGGUGAGGUUAAUAACCUCAUCGAUUGACGUUACUCGCAGAAGAAGCACCGGCUAACUCCGUGCCAGCAGCCGCGGUAAUACGGAGGGUGCAAGCGUUAAUCGGAAUUACUGGGCGUAAAGCGCACGCAGGCGGUCUGUCAAGUCGGAUGUGAAAUCCCCGGGCUCAACCUGGGAACUGCAUUCGAAACUGGCAGGCUAGAGUCUUGUAGAGGGGGGUAGAAUUCCAGGUGUAGCGGUGAAAUGCGUAGAGAUCUGGAGGAAUACCGGUGGCGAAGGCGGCCCCCUGGACAAAGACUGACGCUCAGGUGCGAAAGCGUGGGGAGCAAACAGGAUUAGAUACCCUGGUAGUCCACGCCGUAAACGAUGUCGACUUGGAGGUUGUUCCCUUGAGGAGUGGCUUCCGGAGCUAACGCGUUAAGUCGACCGCCUGGGGAGUACGGCCGCAAGGUUAAAACUCAAAUGAAUUGACGGGGGCCCGCACAAGCGGUGGAGCAUGUGGUUUAAUUCGAUGCAACGCGAAGAACCUUACCUACUCUUGACAUCCAGAGAACUUAGCAGAGAUGCUUUGGUGCCUUCGGGAACUCUGAGACAGGUGCUGCAUGGCUGUCGUCAGCUCGUGUUGUGAAAUGUUGGGUUAAGUCCCGCAACGAGCGCAACCCUUAUCCUUUGUUGCCAGCGGUUAGGCCGGGAACUCAAAGGAGACUGCCAGUGAUAAACUGGAGGAAGGUGGGGAUGACGUCAAGUCAUCAUGGCCCUUACGAGUAGGGCUACACACGUGCUACAAUGGCGCAUACAAAGAGAAGCGACCUCGCGAGAGCAAGCGGACCUCAUAAAGUGCGUCGUAGUCCGGAUUGGAGUCUGCAACUCGACUCCAUGAAGUCGGAAUCGCUAGUAAUCGUAGAUCAGAAUGCUACGGUGAAUACGUUCCCGGGCCUUGUACACACCGCCCGUCACACCAUGGGAGUGGGUUGCAAAAGAAGUAGGUAGCUUAACCUUCGGGAGGGCGCUUACCACUUUGUGAUUCAUGACUGGGGUGAAGUCGUAACAAGGUAACCGUAGGGGAACCUGCGGUUGGAUCACCUCCUUACCUUAAAGAA